This 246-nucleotide long non-coding RNA is filed under the name Capsella rubella. RNAcentral describes it as "long non-coding RNA (CRUB_LNC000516)". Lineage: Eukaryota; Viridiplantae; Streptophyta; Magnoliopsida; Brassicales; Brassicaceae. The record is from RNAcentral.
CAUGCAUCUAUAGUUCUUGUAAUCAAUCAAAUUUGUUAUAUUCUAACAUAUUCUAAACCCAAACAAUACUAGAUAAGUAAUUUAGUGGUUCAACGCAUAGUUUCCGAGUUCUUAGCCCAUUUGGGACCCAAUUUCAACAAGUCUUUCUCCACACUUCUAAACACUUUUCAUGCAUUUCUAGCACUUGUAAUCAGUCAAAUUUAUUGUAUUCUAACAUAUUCUAAACCCAAACAACACUAGAUAAGU